CCCUUAGAUGUUCUGGGCCGCACGCGCGCUACACUGACUGGUGCAACAAGUGUCGCUCCUUGGCCGAUAGGCCUGGGCAAUCUUUGAACGCCAGUCGUGAUGGGGAUAGAUUCUUGCAAUUUUUGAUCUUCAACGAGGAAUUCCUAGUAAACGCGAGUCAUCAACUCACAUUGAUUACGUCCCUGCCCUUUGUACACACCGCCCGUCGCACCUACCGAUUGAAUGGUCCGGUGAACCCUCCGGAUCGGCCCGCGCCAACGCAAGUUGAGCAAAGGCCGAGAAGUUGGGUAAACCUUACCAUUUAGAGGAAGGUGAAGUCGUAACA
RNAcentral lists this ribosomal RNA (325 nucleotides) under uncultured eukaryote. RNAcentral's name for it is "partial 18S ribosomal RNA". It matches the Rfam family "Eukaryotic small subunit ribosomal RNA", at positions 1470 to 1796 of the family's 1831-position model. The record is from RNAcentral.